GGGUCAGUAGCUCAGCGGUAGAGCAUCGCUCUCUUAAAGCGGGGGUUGUGGGGUCAGCACCCACCUGGCUCACCA
Molecule: transfer RNA, 75 nt
Filed under: Bacteroidetes bacterium ADurb.Bin174
Lineage: Bacteria; Pseudomonadati; Bacteroidota
Also listed under: 1 other name
Description: tRNA-Lys
Rfam family: tRNA
About the family: Transfer RNA (tRNA) molecules are approximately 80 nucleotides in length.
Source: RNAcentral